AUCGCUUCUCGGCCUUUUGGCUAAGAUCAAGUGUAGUAAAAAUAUAUUAACUCAUUCAGUUCUUAGAACAUCUUUA
Small nuclear RNA from Heterocephalus glaber (naked mole-rat), 76 nucleotides. Its record names the gene U2. It matches the Rfam family "U2 spliceosomal RNA". Rfam says of the family: U2 is a small nuclear RNA (snRNA) component of the spliceosome (involved in pre-mRNA splicing). Lineage: Eukaryota; Metazoa; Chordata; Mammalia; Rodentia; Bathyergidae. The record is from Ensembl.